AGUCCUAAUGAGGUGUUGAGAUAGAGGAAAACACACAGCAUCUUCUACUUCAGUUCCAUCACAAGGACUUA
This is a non-coding RNA of Cordylochernes scorpioides, 71 nucleotides long. NCBI's taxonomy places the organism in Eukaryota, Metazoa, Arthropoda, Arachnida, Pseudoscorpiones, Chernetidae. The record is from the annotation of a GenBank genome assembly.